This 632-nucleotide long non-coding RNA is filed under the name Homo sapiens (human). RNAcentral's name for it is "LNC_000746". Lineage: Eukaryota; Metazoa; Chordata; Mammalia; Primates; Hominidae. The record is from RNAcentral.
GCCAGGGGCAAGGAGGCACGCAGGGUCGCAGCGACUUGGAGCAAGCCCUGGGGUCUCGCUGGCUGCUCCACCCUGAGUGGAUGGGAGGCCAAAUCUCUGGAGAGUGGGGAGCACAGCUGGGCUGGCUGGGGUAGGGGCAAGAAGUUAAGUCCGGUGGCUGGCAGAGCCACUGCCAUACUCACCCAGCUUCUGGGAAAAGAUCUUCUCAAAGGUCACCUCGCCCCGGUCCUCCAGGUACUUCUGCAUGACACUGCGGAUGCUGGGCUCGGGCAGCAGGAUCUUCUUGCUGGCGCGCGCGGCCGGCGUGGCCUUGCUCUUCUCCAUGGCCAUCAGGUAGCUCACGUCGGCCAGCACCGCCUCCAGGUCCGCCAUCUUGGCGGCGGCGCUGCCUCCUCCCGCCGCCGCCGCCGCCGCCGCCGCUCCUGCUCGCUCGGCGCUCGGCCCGGCCCGGCCGCGGCUCGCUCGGCCUCGGGCGCCGACGCCUCCCGCCUGGCCCUGCUCGGCGCCCGCGGCUCCGCUCGCCGCCGCUCACAGGCGGCGCCGCCCCAUGGCGCCGGCUCGGGCCCGGCCCCGGCUCGCGCUCCGCUCCCGCCGGGACUGCAGUCGGGGCGCCGCCGCCGCCGCCGCCCGCG